RNAcentral lists this ribosomal RNA (440 nucleotides) under uncultured bacterium. RNAcentral describes it as "partial 16S ribosomal RNA". It matches the Rfam family "Bacterial small subunit ribosomal RNA", at positions 338 to 795 of the family's 1533-position model. The record is from RNAcentral.
CCUACGGGGGGCAGCAGUGGGGAAUAUUGCACAAUGGGGGAAACCCUGAUGCAGCGACGCCGCGUGAGUGAAGAAGUAUUUCGGUAUGUAAAGCUCUAUCAGCAGGGAAGAAAAUGACGGUACCUGAGUAAGAAGCCCCGGCUAACUACGUGCCAGCAGCCGCGGUAAUACGUAGGGGGCAAGCGUUAUCCGGAUUUACUGGGUGUAAAGGGAGCGUAGACGGGAGCACAAGUCUGGAGUGAAAGUCCGGGGCUUAACCCCGUAACUGCUGUUGAAACUGUGCAGCUAGAGUGCAGGAGAGGUAAGGGGAAUUCCUGGUGUAGCGGUGAAAUGCGUAGAUAUUAGGAGGAACACCAGUGGCGAAGGCAGCUUACUGGACUGUAACUGACGUUGAGGCUCGAAAGCGUGGGGAGCAAACAGGAUUAGAUACCCUUGUAGUC